UGAUGGCUUUCCCCCUAGGGAAGGAGCAGCCAGCCAUUGCCCCCAUUGAACAUGUGCUCAGUGGCUGGAAGGCAAGAACUCCCCUGGAGCAGGAAAUUUUUACCCUCCUCCAUAAGAACAAGCAGCCAGUGACAGACCCUUUACUGACUCCCAUGGAAAAGGCCUGUCUCCAAGCCAUGAACCUGGAAGAGGCAAAGAUGCACCGAGCAGAGCUUCAGAGGGCCCGGGCUCGGUAGUCCUACUAUGAGGCCAAGGCUCAAAGAGAGAAGAAAAUCAAAAAUAAAAAGUAUCACAAAGUUGUAAAGAAAGGAAAGGCCAAGAAAGCCUUAAAAGACUUUGAGCAGCUGCAGAAGGUUAAUCCGACUGCAGCAUUGGAAGAACUGGAAAAAAUUGAAAAUGCCAGAAUGAUAGAAUGAGCCUUAAGCACCAAUCCAGUGGGAAAUGGGCCAAGUCAAAGGCAAUUAUGGUCAAAUAUGACCUGGAGGCUCGCCAAGCUAUGCAGGAACAGUUGACCAAGAACAAAGAACUGACAGAGAAACUCCAGGUAGCCUUUGAGAGUGAAGAAGAGGAGGGAGGCACAAAAGUAGAAGAACUCUUUGUUCCUGAGGUAGUGAAUGAAGUGCAGAAGAAUGUGGAUGGACUGAAUCCCUGGAUGCUCAGGAGCUACACCAGUGACACCAAAGAGGUUGCAACCCAGGAGAACCCUGAGCAACUGCCAGAGCCUGCAGCCCAUGAGGUCUCUGGAAGUGAGAGAGAAGAAAGACCAGCAGCAGAGGAAGCAAUUUUGUUGAGAGGAUUUGAGGAAAGGAGAUCCCUUAGAAAAAGUUCUGAGCUCAACCAAGAUGCUGAGCCAGCAGGCAGUCAAAAAACAAAAGAUUCUAGCAGCCAGGAGGUGCUGUCUGAAUUGAGGGCACUAACUCAGAAACUGAAGAAAAACCAUCAGUCCAGGAAGCAAAAAAGCAAGUUCAGAGGGGACAGUUCCCCAGGUCCAGAGAGAUGAAGCUGCCCCAGAAGAAGAGGAGUCCCUGUUGCCAGAGAGGCCAGAGAGAGUACAGACUCUGGAAGAGCUGGGAAAAGAAGAUUGUUUUCAAAAUAAGGGGCUUCCCAGACCUGUGUUAGAAGGGCAGCAGUCAGAGAGGACCCCAAAUAAUUGGCCUGAUGCCCCUAAGGAGAAGAAGAAGGAGCAAAUGAUCGACCUACAGAACCUCCUCACCACACAGUCUCCUUCCAUGAGGUCUUUGGCAGUUCCCACAACAAUAGAGGAGCUGGAAGAUGAAGAGGAGAGAGACCAAAGGCAGAUGAUAAAGGAAGCUUUUGCUGGGGAUGAUGUCAUCAGAGAUUUCUUGAAAGAGAAGGAAGCCGUAGAGGCGAGUAAGCCAAAAGACAUGGACCUGAUACUACCUGGCUGGGGUGAGUGGGGUGGUGUGGGCCUAAAGCCCAGUGCCAAGAAAAGACGCCAGUUUCUCAUUAAAGCCCCAGAGGGUCCUCCAAGAAAAGAUAAGAAUUUGCUAAAUGUGAUUAUCAAUGAGAAGCGCAACAACCAUGCAGCGGCUCAUCAGGUACGAGUGCUUCCAUAUCCAUUUAUCCACCAUCAGCAAUUUGAAAGGAUCAUCCAGACUCCCAUAGGAUCCACGUGGAACACUCAGAGGGCUUUUCAGAAGCUGACUACUCUCAAGGUCAUUACCAAGCCCGGCCAUAUCAUUAAGCCCAUAAAAGCAGAGGAUGUGGGCUACCAGUCUUCCUCAAGAUCAGACCUGUCUGUCAUACAGAGGAAUCCAAAACAAAUCACCACAAAUCACAAAAAACAGCUGAAGGAAAACUCUGUAGAUUGAGUAGCUGGAGGAGUGACAGCCUGGAGCCUUGAAUCCACUUCCUUUGGUCCAGUUUUACUCUGCUACAGGGUGGAUUCCAAAACUGGUUCAGCACAUUGCAUGUAGUUCAGCCACAUUUAAAAAAAAAAAAAGAAAAUGGAUGACCGUUAGUUAACUAGUACUUUAGAAUUUAUCAGACAUUUUUAGAACAGAAAAAUUUGGUACAUUUAAAUUCUAAACAAUACAGUGGAUGACCCUUUUGAAUAUACCUAAUGAUUUCCUUAAAAAAGAAAUUUUAAACAAACUUGUUUGGUCAUCUUCACAAAGCAUACAGGCCAGAGGUGAGACUGACUGAUGCUUUAUAGGUGUGUGUAGGUAGGACAGUAGAGGCCAACGUGCUGCCAGCAGUCCUUUCCAUACUAGGUACUGGUGAAAAUUGUUUUUGUUUAGUGCUGUCAGCACAUUUGUGUGGGUCUCAUUAUCCCUUAACAACACUGAAUUACAGCCUGGAAGUCAGCUUUAAGUCAUUCAAGAGAACUUGAGGUUGUUUUUCUGACAGUGAUUAUGUGAUAUACAGAUACAUCCACAGAGUGUCUUACCAGCAUAAUGCAUUGUAAGAGCAAAGUGGCAUUUUGAAAGAGGACUGGGCAAGGAGUUAGCAUAUCUGGGCCUACCUUCAGCUUCAUCAUUCACAAGCUUCUGACCUUUUGAUACUAAAGCGGCUCCUUUACCUUUCUGAGUCUGAUGUUUCAUCUGUAAUCUGGAGUUGUUAAUUCCAGUCCCUACUACCUUUUAGAGUUGGAAUCAGAUGGAAAGUUGGUGAAACUACUUUGAAAAUUGAGUUACUUUAAUUAAAGGUAGCAUUACAUAGUAAAUGUCUUCUAUAAUCCUAUGUUUAUUAAUGCAUUACAACUGAAUGUAGAUUCUUAAUUACUAGGCCAGUAGCUAGGAAUUGGUAUAAAUUUAAUGCAACUUCUAUCCUGAAAAACUAGCAUGGAAAAGUGAAUACAUAUGUGGGCAGACAUGGCUAUAAAGACCUAAAACUUUUGCAUUUUCUGCCUAUAUAAUCAAUCCUUUCUAGUACAGCGAAUUGACCCCCUCCAUAGCCUGAUUCAUCUUUGCGCUAAGGGGCAAAUGAAAGGGUAUAUUAUUCCUUUGCAGUCUCUUCUCAGUCAUUCACCAAUCUGGCCAGCUUAUCUACUCCCAAUUAGGUUGUUGAUCUAUCUGCAGGCCAUCUGUCAUCAGAUCAAAAAGUAGCAAAACAGAAGGUCAGUCACAGGAUGUUCUGAUGCACCAUUGUAACUUUGUGUUAGAGAUGAUCCCAUUUAGAAAAAGACUGGUAGAAAUUGGAGUGAAAGGAACCCUAUAGAUUUUCUAGCCCAGUUCUCUCUUAUUUUCAGCUUUACAGACAAGAAUAAUUUAGAUCUAAAUAAUUUGGCAGACUCCUUCAGUGUCACAAAGCUGUUUAAUGAAAGAAUCAAAAGUAUAACCUGGAUAUUCUGACUCCUGGCCCAGUGCUUUUUCUGACUUUGUAGCCACAUUAUGAAGUAGGAUUCAUACUCAGCCUACUUAUCUACACAGAGAAAAUAUGGGACCAUAGAUAAAUAAAUUGAAACGCCCAGAGCAAAAGGAGAGGAUGUAGUAAAGAAAAAGUUUUCCGGAAUUCCAUAAGAUAUAUUUUAAGCUUACAUCUUCUAAAUGAUUUUCAUAUAUCACAGAUAAAUCGUUGGAAGAUAUAAUUUGCAUAUAUGUUCUUUAUCAAUGUUCCUAAUGUAUCACAUGUAUUCUGUUUUUUCUGAAUGACAGCAUGAAAAGUGUCAAAGUGGUAUGUCUGCUAGUAUCUGCCUGCAGAACUUCAGGAUGACUUAAUUUCUCUCAAAUAUCAUUUUUGAGUGGUCCAAGCCUGCUGUGUUUUGAACCCACAGCAGUGGAGAUUUGUAUUCUUAUUUACAGUUGUGUACUAUAAAGGAUGUGUUACAUAGGCUUUGUGUAAUAAUUAUUUGUAAAUAUGAUUUAGAUUUGUAUUUAGACAUGAUUUACAUCUAAGAGAUACAAAGUCUGUGUCUAAAUUUGAUUUAAAUAAGUGAUUUUUCAUUCCCUUGGAUUCUUUCCAGCAUGGUGCCUUUUGUAUGCCUCACAUGGUCAUCUUGUUCUCCCACUAAUAUUCCCAAGCUCCAUAUGCCAAUAAAAGAAGAAAGAAAAAUAAAAAA
Sapajus apella (tufted capuchin) is the source of this 4021-nucleotide RNA transcript. It is a transcript of the gene named U3 small nucleolar RNA-associated protein 14 homolog C-like, with no coding region annotated. The transcript has a single exon. The record is from RefSeq and is a predicted model, not a curated record. Lineage: Eukaryota; Metazoa; Chordata; Mammalia; Primates; Cebidae.